GACAUGGGAAGCUUGCUUCCUAUGAAAUCGAGUGGCAAACGGGUGAGUAACGCGUAAACAACCUGCCCUUCGGAUGGGGAUAACAGCCGGAAACGGCUGCUAAUACCGAAUACGAUCUUUUCGUCGCAUGACGGAAAGAAGAAAGGAUGGCCUCUAUACAAAGCUAUCGCCGAAGGAGGGGUUUGCGUCUGAUUAGCUGGUUGGAGGGGUAACGGCCCAACAAGGCGAUGAUCAGUAGCCGGUCUGAGAGGAUGAACGGCCACAUUGGGACUGAGACACGGCCCAGACUCCUACGGGAGGCAGCAGUGGGGAUUCUUCCGCAAUGGACGAAAGUCUGACGGAGCAACGCCGCGUGAGUGAAGAAGGUCUUCGGAUUGUAAAGCUCUGUUAUACGGGACGAAAAAGACGGAUGCCAACAGUAUCCGUCCGUGACGGUACC
This 439-nucleotide ribosomal RNA is filed under the name uncultured bacterium. Its description in RNAcentral is "bacterial SSU rRNA". It matches the Rfam family "Bacterial small subunit ribosomal RNA", at positions 69 to 479 of the family's 1533-position model. The record is from RNAcentral.